GGCUGUUGGCGCCUCCCCAGGGUCCUCUUUGUGCCCUCUCUGGUUUAGGCUUGAGCUCCGGGUAAUGGAGAAGGAUCCUGCGUCUGCUAAAGCAGCAGCAACACUGUGGAGCCCGCGUCUGAAGUUAGAGCAUUCGAUUAAGGUGAAGCAAGAAAUUAAACUGGGCUUCUCAAGGAGGGUGAAAAACCAGCACCAGAAAUGGGAGAUCACAGGAGAACACGAGCAGG
Molecule: long non-coding RNA, 227 nt
Organism: Equus quagga
Lineage: Eukaryota; Metazoa; Chordata; Mammalia; Perissodactyla; Equidae
Exons: 2
Source: RefSeq, a predicted model, not a curated record